GCCGGGCGUGGUGGCGGGCGCCUGUAAUCCCAGCUACUCGGGAGGCUGAGGCAGGAGAAUCGCUUGAACCCAGGAGGUAGAGGUUGCAGUGAGCCGAGAUUGCCCCACUGCACUCCAGCCUGGGUGACAGAGUGAGACUUCGUCUCAA
Molecule: non-coding RNA, 148 nt
Filed under: Pan paniscus (pygmy chimpanzee)
Lineage: Eukaryota; Metazoa; Chordata; Mammalia; Primates; Hominidae
Also listed under: 1 other name
Source: Rfam by way of RNAcentral